This 445-nucleotide ribosomal RNA is filed under the name uncultured bacterium. RNAcentral describes it as "bacterial SSU rRNA". It matches the Rfam family "Bacterial small subunit ribosomal RNA", at positions 329 to 790 of the family's 1533-position model. The record is from RNAcentral.
CGCCAGACUCCUACGGGAGGCAGCAGUGGGGAAUAUUGCACAAUGGGGGAAACCCUGAUGCAGCAACGCCGCGUGAGUGAGGAGGUAUUUCGGUAUGUAAAGCUCUAUCAGCAGGGAAUAGAAAAGAAGGUACCUGAAAAAGAAGCCCCGGCUAACUACGUGCCAGCAGCCGCGGUAAUACGUAGGGGGCAAGCGUUAUCCGGAUUUACUGGGUGUAAAGGGAGCGUGGACGGAAAGGCAAGUCAGAAGUGAAAGCCCAAGGGUCAACCAUGGGACUGCUUUUGAAACUGUCGAACUAGAGUGCGGGGGAGGGAAGAGGAAUUCCUAGUGUGGCGGUGAAAUGCGUAGAUAUUAGGAGGAGCACCAGUGGCGAAGGCGUCUUACUGGGCCGAAACUGACGUUGAGGCUCGAAAGCGUGGGGAGCAAACAGGGUUAGAUACCCCCG